AGAGUUAAACAGUACGUGAAAUUGUUGAAAGGGAAACGAUUGAAGCCAGUCGUAUCAGCGGAUAAUCAACCUUUAGAUGCGAUUUUGUGGAGUGUGAGGAGCUAAUCGCCUUCAUGCCUGUAUAUUCGUGUACUUGGGGUGUACUUAUUCGUGUGGUAAGUUAACAUCAAUUUUGGUUAUCAUAAAAUGACUGGAGGAAUGUAGCUUCGAUUUCGUAUUGAAGUGUUAUAGCCUUCGGUAGAUGUGAUGAACGAGAUUGAGGAUUGCAACGGAUACCCUUCGGGGCUACCUGUCUGGUCUCUGAUCGUUGCUCUGGUGCCGAAAGCUUGCUUACGGUUAUCAAAGUCGAUGGUCAAAAGGUUAGAACGAAUUACAUUCGUUAAGGAUGUUGACGUAAUGACUUUAAACGACC
Molecule: ribosomal RNA, 412 nt
Filed under: uncultured fungus
Lineage: Eukaryota; Fungi
Description: eukaryotic LSU rRNA
Source: RNAcentral